This 492-nucleotide ribosomal RNA is filed under the name uncultured bacterium. Its description in RNAcentral is "partial 16S ribosomal RNA". It matches the Rfam family "Bacterial small subunit ribosomal RNA", at positions 29 to 507 of the family's 1533-position model. The record is from RNAcentral.
AGUGAACGCUGGCGGUAGGCCUAACACAUGCAAGUCGAACGGCAGCACAGUAAGAGCUUGCUCUUACGGGUGGCGAGUGGCGGACGGGUUAGGAAUACAUCGGAAUCUACUUUUUCGUGGGGGAUAACGUAGGGAAACUUACGCUUAUACCGCAUACGACCUACGGGUGAAAUCAAGGGAUCUUCGGACCUUGCGCGAUUGAAUGAGCCGAUGGCGGAUUAGCUAGUUGGCGGGGUAAAGGCCCACGAAGGCGACGAUCCGUAGCUGGUCUGAGAGGAUGAUCAGCCACACUGGAACUGAGACACGGUCCAGACUCCUACGGGAGGCGGCAGUGGGGAAUAUUGGACAAUGGGCGCAAGCCUGAUCCAGCCAUACCGCGUGGGUGAAGAAGGCCUUCGGGUUGUAAAGCCCUUUUGUUGGGAAAGAAAAGCAGCAGGUUAAUACCCCGCUGUUCUGACGGUACCCAAAGAAUAAGCACCGGCUAACUUCGUG